RNAcentral lists this transfer RNA (95 nucleotides) under Megaselia scalaris. It matches the Rfam family "tRNA". From Rfam's summary of the family: Transfer RNA (tRNA) molecules are approximately 80 nucleotides in length. Their secondary structure includes four short double-helical elements and three loops (D, anti-codon, and T loops). Further hydrogen bonds mediate the characteristic L-shaped molecular structure. tRNAs have two regions of fundamental functional importance: the anti-codon, which is responsible for specific mRNA codon recognition, and the 3' end, to which the tRNAs corresponding amino acid is attached (by aminoacyl-tRNA synthetases). tRNAs cope with the degeneracy of the genetic code in two manners: having more than one tRNA (with a specific anti-codon) for a particular amino acid; and 'wobble' base-pairing, i.e. permitting non-standard base-pairing at the 3rd anti-codon position. Lineage: Eukaryota; Metazoa; Arthropoda; Insecta; Diptera; Phoridae. The record is from Rfam by way of RNAcentral.
CCUUCGAUAGCUCAGUUGGUAGAGCGGUGGACUGUAGAUUGUGCAAUUUGAGGGUAGAAAUCCAUAGGUCGCUGGUUCAAAUCCGGCUCGAAGGA